UUGCGCACCUCCGGGUUGUCCGCGUUGUAAUCUCGAGACGUGUUUUCCCGCGCGGCUCUAUGGACAAGUCCCUUGGAAUAGGGCAUCGUACAGGGUGAGAAUCCCGUACUUGCCAUGGAAGAACCGUGCUUUGCGAUACACGCUCUAAGAGUCGAGUUGUUUGGGAUUGCAGCUCACAAUGGGAGGUAGACUCCAUCUAAAGCUAAAUAUCGGGGAGAGACCGAUAGCGA
Molecule: ribosomal RNA, 230 nt
Filed under: Malassezia globosa
Lineage: Eukaryota; Fungi; Basidiomycota; Malasseziomycetes; Malasseziales; Malasseziaceae
Description: partial large subunit ribosomal RNA
Rfam family: Eukaryotic large subunit ribosomal RNA
Source: RNAcentral